Capsicum annuum is the source of this 106-nucleotide non-coding RNA. Lineage: Eukaryota; Viridiplantae; Streptophyta; Magnoliopsida; Solanales; Solanaceae. The record is from Rfam.
ACUUCAUGGUUUGGACAUUGCAUGAGUUUAUCAUUGAAUCUCUCCAACACCUUUUAUAAGGUUUCACCUUUGAGUUCACAAAAAUUAAUUAUUUCAUCUCUCAAUU